UAAGGUCAAAUGAACUAAGGCGUACGGUGGAGACCUAGGCACUCAGAGACGAAGAAGGGCGCAGAUACCGGCGAUACGCUUCGGGGAGCUGGCAACAAGCUUUGAUCCGAAGAUUCCCGAAUAGGGCAACCUCAUAGAACUACCUAUAUAAUUCAUAGUUAGGUAAGAGGCAACCCAGUGAACUGAAACAUCUAAGUAGCUGGAGGAAAAGAAAGCAAACGCGAUUCCCGUAGUAGCGGCGAGCGAACCGGGAAAUGGCCUAAACCUACAUCGCAAGAUGUAGGGGUCGUGGGAGGACAGUAAAAAAUAAAAAUUUUUAAUACGAAGCAGCUGAAUCCUGCACCAUAGAUGGUGAAAGUCCAGUAGUAAAAAGAAAAUUUGAUUUUUGUCUAAUCCCGAGUAGCAUGGGGCACGUGAAAUCCCGUGUGAAUCAGCGAGGACCACCUCGUAAGGCUAAAUACUCCUGAGUGACCGAUAGCGAAAUAGUACCACGAGGGAACGGUGAAAAGAACCCCUGUUGGGGAGUGAAAUAGAACAUGAAACCGUAUGCUGACAAGCAGUGGGAGCAAGAAUGCUUGUGACCGCGUGCCUGUUGAAGAAUGAGCCGGCGACUUAUAGGAAGUGGCUGGGUUAAGGAGUAAAAUCCGGAGCCCAAGCGAAAGCGAGUCUGAAUAGGGCUAUUAUUAGGUCACUUCUUAUGGACCCGAACCCGGGUGAUCUAUUCAUGGCCAGGAUGAAGCUUGGGUAACACCAAGUGGAGGUCCGAACCGACCGAUGUUGAAAAAUCGGCGGAUGAGCUGUGAAUAGGGGUGAAAUACCAAUCGAACUCGGAGCUAGCUGGAUCUCCCCGAAAUGCGUUGAGGCGCAGCGGUAACGAUGAACUAUCUCGGGGUAAAGCUACUGUUUCGAUGCGGGCUGCGAAAGUGGUACCAAGUCGUGGCAAACUCAGAAUACAAGAUAUGUCUUCCGUGAACCAGUGAGACUGUGGGGGAUAAGCUUCAUUGUCAAGAGGGAAACAGCCCAGAUCACCAGCUAAGGCCCCUAAAUGGUUACUAAGUGGAAAAGGAUGUGAGAAUGCUGAAACAACCAGGAGGUUUGCUUAGAAGCAGCCACCCUUCAAAGAGUGCGUAAUAGCUCACUGGUAAAGCGUUCUUGCGCCGAUAAUGGCCGGGACUAAGUGACCUGCCGAAGCUGUGAUAUAUUUUAUUUAUAAUAAAUUAUAGGUAGGGGAGCGUUCUGCUUUCGGGUGAAGUUUUCACGUAAGUGGGGAUGGACGAAGCGGAAGUGAGAAUGUCGGCUUGAGUAACGAAAACAUUGGUGAGAAUCCAAUGCCCCGAAAACCUAAGGGUUCCUCCACUAGGUUCGUCCAUGGGGGGUGAGUCAGGACCUAAGACUAGGCCGAAAGGCGUCGUCGAUGGAAAACAGGUUAAUAUUCCUGUACUAAUUAAAUUAUGAUCUGAGGGACGAAGGAGGCUAAACUAGAACUGUUUUUGGAUUGCAGUGGAAGCGUUUAGACGUUGAGAGAUAGCAAAAAAGCUAUUUUGAGUGGAGGCGUAAUCCCUAUUUAAUGGUUCGCUGUUGAGUAGCUAGUGAUGUCAUACUUCCAAGAAAAGCUCAUACAUCUUUAUAUUUUAAUUACCUGUACCUGAAACCGACACAGGUAGGUUGGUAGAGAAUACCAAGGGGCGCGAGAGAACUCUCUCUAAGGAACUCGGCAAACUGGCCCCGUAACUUCGGAAGAAGGGGCGCCCAAAAUUAAUUUUUUGGGUCGCAGUGACCCGGCCCAGGCGACUGUUUACCAAAAACACAGGUCUCCGCAAAGUCGUAAGACAAUAUAUGGGGGCUGACGCCUGCCCAGUGCCGGAAGGUUAAGGAAGUUGGUUAUUUCGCAAGAAAAAAGCUGACGACCGAAGCCCCGGUGAACGGCGGUCGUAACUAUAACGAUCCUAAGGUUUGCGUUCGCUAGCCUUAGUAAAACUAAACUAUAUGCUGGAAACUCCUCAUUUGCGAAUAGCACGCAUCGCACUAAACGCAAAUUUCAACAGCAAUGUGAAAACAGCUACAACGUACUCGUUGGUUAGUUGGCUCAAUAAUUCAUCUUUCUUAAGAAAGAAGCAUAACAACCUUCAGUGAAAAUCGUUGAGACAUGGGGACAAUCAGCAGGGAAGGCCCAGUAAAGGAAUGGGAACCCUCAGAGACUAUACGUUUGGGAAUUUUUUUAUAAACAACAUAAUUAACUUAAAACAAUAUCAACUAUGACAACACAUUUAGAAACUCAAUGGAUCGUCGGCUUCGUUGAUGGCGAAGGUUGUUUUAACCUAGAUGUCCACAUUAAAAAUGUUUAUGCAAAAAUUUAAGAUAGAGUCCAGCUUUUAUCGAAAGAUUCAAGGUUAUCUGAGCGAAAUUCAUUGUCGAGUAAGUUUCGACCUGCACGAAAGGCGUAACGAUCUGGGCGCUGUCUCGGAGAGAGGCUCGGUGAAAUAGACUUGUCCCGUGAAGAUGCGGACUACCUACACCUGGACAGAAAGACCCUAUGAAGCUUGACUGUAUCUUGGAAUUGGGUUUGGGCUUUUCUUGCGCAGCCUAGGUGGGAGGCUAUGAAGAUUACCUUCCGGGGUAGUUGGAGCCGUCAUUGAGAGACCACUCUGGAAGAGCUAGAAUCCUAAUGGGGAUCCUUGAAUCGGGACCCUUGACAGUUUCAGGUGGGCAGUUUAUUUGGGGCGAAUGCCUCCUAAAAGGUAACGGAGGCGUGCAAAGGUUCCCUCAGUCUGGACGGAAAUCAGACAUUGAGUGUAAAGGCAAAAGGGAGCUUGACUGCAAGACCUACAAGUCGAGCAGGGGCGAAAGCCGGCCUUAGUGAUCCGACGGUGCCGAGUGGAAGGGCCGUCGCUCAACGGAUAAAAGUUACUCUAGGGAUAAACUCGUUGUCCCAUUUGAGCGAAAGCUCAAACAUAGAGUUUUAAACCGAGUGAAUUGCAAGAAUGCUAAAACAAUAUUUUAUGUGUGUGUAAACUUGCAGCGUAACUGUUUUUGAGUUACAAUUUGAAUAAGCAUAAAAUUGUACGCUAAAUAACGCUCUGAUGCUUAUUUUUUCUUAUAAUAAGAAACACAAGGAGGUUAUGUUGGAAAAUCAGGACGUUCAACGACUAGAAGGUGAUGUAAACUCACAAAUAAUCCUUCCACGAGUUCUCGGGGGCUUAAUAGUACAUGAUGAAAAACUACUAGUGCAACGUGAAAGCUUACUUAAAAGCGGGAAUUACAGGGGAAAUACUAAAAAGCUUAAAGCUUAUAAAGCAGGACUUCCUAAGCUAAGCCCAGUGCAAAUUGAAGUUUGUGUUGGAUUGCUUUUAGGUGACACUACUUUACAAGCAAGUCACAGCUACCUGCUCCUCGUAAACCUGGCAGUCGUUACAAGCCUAGUUAGUAAACUAACUCACAUGUUAAGUCCAUGACAUAGUCUGAACUUUUACUAUAAGUAAAAGAAAAGGCUUUUAAACAAAGCCUUGUUAACAUAUUUGAACAGGCUGAUCUUCCCCAAGAGUUCACAUCGACGGGAAGGUUUGGCACCUCGAUGUCGGCUCAUCACAUCCUCGGUCUGUAGUAGGUCCGAAGGGUUGGGCUGUUCGCCCAUUAAAGUGGUACGUGAGCUGGGUUCAAAACGUCGUGAGACAGUUUGGUCCAUAUCCGGUGUAGGCGUUAGAGCAUUGAGAGUAGCCUUUCAUAGUACGAGAGGACCUGAAAGGACAUGCCAAUUGUGUACCAGUUCUCAUUCCAAUGGGAAACGCUGGGUAGCUACGCAUGGAUAGAUAACUGCUGAAAGCAUCUAAGUAGGAAGCUAAACUCAAGAUGAGUGCUCUCUAAGGCCGCGGCUAGACAAGCCGUUAUAUAGGUAUCAGGUGUACAGUCAGCAAUGGCUUCAGCCGAGAUAUACUAAAGGCCGUUUGAUUUUGACCUU
This 3955-nucleotide ribosomal RNA is filed under the name Colemanosphaera charkowiensis. RNAcentral's name for it is "23S ribosomal RNA". It matches the Rfam family "Bacterial large subunit ribosomal RNA". The record is from RNAcentral. Lineage: Eukaryota; Viridiplantae; Chlorophyta; Chlorophyceae; Chlamydomonadales; Volvocaceae.